UUACUUUUUGUAUUCAUUUGUGUUAGUAGUUAGUAGCUGAAACUUAGCAAUGUUUUCAAAGAAGAGUUGACAUGGUUAGCAAUGACUGACAUUCAUAUCGUGUAGUAAUACUGUACUUAAGUAACCUUUAGUAGAAGUUUUGUAUUUUGCAGUUACUGCGUGUAUUUUUAUUUAAAUUUCUUUAUUUUUGUACUUGAUGCCUUACACACAAAUUACAAACCCGAGCUUUGUGGGGGCCUUUUGUGAAAACCUUCCCACAACUUUUUCCUGACUGGCUUGACUUUUACACACACAAGUUUCUAGCUGCUCUUUGUGGGGCCCUUCCGUCUGCUAGUUGUCUUUUGUCUUGGUGUUAUCUCUAAAGUUAACAUGUCUUUCUUAGAACUUCAUGGAUUCUCUUCUUAAAACUGUCUACUCAUCCUCUGUUUGGUUUCACAGACUUUUCUUAACUCUUUUUUAGAGAAUUUUCAUAGAAACACUUUUUCAAUGCACACUUUUCCUUUAAAAAAAUGCUAUAUUGUCAUAUUAAAUGUUCUUAGACUAUGUAUCUAGCCUUAAUUAUAAAGUGUUUACAAAAACUUUUGUAUUAAGGUAAAGUCAUGCAACUAUAAAGUGCUUAGUCUCUGUUUCCCUUUUUGUUCUGUAGGUGGUGGCACUCAAGCCUGGAGACACCAGACCUGGGGCAAAGAAACUUUCACCUGAUAAAAAAGCUAGUUAUGUCUUGGCCCAUCAAAAAAAGGCAACAGAGGUGGUGGUACUCAAACCUGGAGACACCAAACCUGGGGCAAAGAAACUUUCACUUGGUAAAAAACCUAGUCAUGUCUUGGCCCGUCAAAAGAUGACAACAGAGGUCGUGGCACCUGAACCUGGAGACACCAGACCUUGGGCAAAGAAACUUUCACCUGAUCAAACAUCAAGUGAAUUCUCGGCCCGUCAAAAAAUGACAACAGAGGUGGUGGCACUCAAACCAGGAGACACCAGACAUAAGACAAAGAAACUUUCACCUGAUCAAACAUCAAGUCAUGUCUUGGCCCGCCAAAAAGUGGUGGCAUUCAAAGCUGAAGACACCAGACCUGAGGCACAGAAACAAUAUUAUUACACUUGGGUUUUUAUAUUAUUCUUAUUAUUUUUAAGUAUAUUUUUUAUACUUAUUAUUUUCUUUAAAAAUUACUAAUCUUGUAUGAGUUACUGUAAAUAACGAUGUAAAAAUCUGGCUAUAAAGUAACUGUAAAAAUGUUUGGUUAAAGUUUGUUUAGAAAUACACAUAAGGCUGCAAGCAAGUGGAAAGUAAGGAAAUGUAUGCUAUGUGUUUCUGACAGUUUGCCUUUACAGCUGGUCUGAAAGGAACAAUAAAUCUAAUUAAGAAACAAAAAAAAAACGAUUUUGGACCCUAUAUAGAUACAAAACCUAAGAAUAUUUGUGUAUGCAGCAAGUGGACCUCACAACAACUGAAUGUUGGAAAUGAACCCCAUAAGUGACCAAAAAACUAACAUAAACUUUUUAACAUUCAAAUUCGUUUAAACAAAAAUGUUUUUUAUGUUUGGUAUUUUUUUAUAGUGCUUCCUGAUUUUUUUCACACCUGUAGCACCUUUACAAAUGGUGGACCCCACAACUUGCUAAAAAACUGUUGGGCCCCUCAAAGGGGGAAUGCAAGUAUGUGUGUGUGUGUGUGUGUGUGUGUGUGUGUG
Non-coding RNA from Oryzias latipes (Japanese medaka), 1688 nucleotides. NCBI's taxonomy places the organism in Eukaryota, Metazoa, Chordata, Actinopteri, Beloniformes, Adrianichthyidae. The record is from RefSeq and is a predicted model, not a curated record.